GGAAUUUUCCGCAAUGGGCGAAAGCCUGACGGAGCAAUGCCGCGUGGAGGAUGAAGGCCUGUGGGUUGUAAUCUCCUUUUCUCAGAGAAGAAGUUCUGACGGUAUCUGAGGAAUAAGCAUCGGCUAACUCCGUGCCAGCAGCCGCGGUAAUACGGAGGAUGCAAGCGUUAUCCGGAAUCAUUGGGCGUAAAGCGUCUGUAGGUGGCUUGGUAAGUCGACUGUUAAAUCGUAGAGCUCAACUCUAUAUCGGCAGUCGAAACUACUUCGCUUGAGUGUGGUAGGGGCAGAGGGAAUUCCCGGUGUAGCGGUGAAAUGCGUAGAUAUCGGGAAGAACACCAACGGCGAAAGCACUCUGCUGGGCCAACACUGACACUGAGAGACGAAAGCUAGGGUAGCCAAUGGGAUUAGAUACCCCUGUAGUC
This 422-nucleotide ribosomal RNA is filed under the name uncultured eukaryotic phytoplankton. RNAcentral's name for it is "bacterial SSU rRNA". It matches the Rfam family "Bacterial small subunit ribosomal RNA", at positions 358 to 795 of the family's 1533-position model. The record is from RNAcentral.